This 50-nucleotide ribosomal RNA is filed under the name Diaporthe phaseolorum. Its description in RNAcentral is "partial 18S ribosomal RNA". It matches the Rfam family "Eukaryotic small subunit ribosomal RNA". The record is from RNAcentral. Lineage: Eukaryota; Fungi; Ascomycota; Sordariomycetes; Diaporthales; Diaporthaceae. RNAcentral also lists the same sequence under 2 other names.
GUAAAAAGUCGUAACAAGGUCUCCGUUGGUGAACCAGCGGAGGGAUCAUU